AUGGAUCUGCCUUCGGCAGGGGGGAUUCCUGAUAUUAAACUUAGGUAUGCAGACAAGAAGCUUGAGUCCGAAAGAAAACAGAAACAAGCCCAGCUGUUCAGAUUAUACGUAAACCCAAAAGAGCAAGCAAUCACCUACAAGGGUCUGGUGCAACAAAUAAGAGAAAGCAAAGGAUCUACGGACGAACACUUCUUGAGGAGAAUUGCUUUGUGUGCAAUUUGUCGACUGCUAUGUCCAAGUACAAAGUCAUAA
This 252-nucleotide ribosomal RNA is filed under the name Triticum aestivum (bread wheat). Its description in RNAcentral is "partial small subunit ribosomal RNA". The record is from RNAcentral. Lineage: Eukaryota; Viridiplantae; Streptophyta; Magnoliopsida; Poales; Poaceae.